Molecule: ribosomal RNA, 275 nt
Filed under: uncultured bacterium
Lineage: Bacteria
Description: partial 16S ribosomal RNA
Rfam family: Bacterial small subunit ribosomal RNA
Source: RNAcentral
UACGGAGGGGGUUAGCGUUGUUCGGAAUUACUGGGCGUAAAGCGCGCGUAGGCGGACUAUUAAGUCAGAGGUGAAAGCCCGGGGCUCAACCCCGGAAUUGCCUUUGAGACUGGUGUGCUUGAGUACGGAAGAGGUGAGUGGAAUUCCCAGUGUAGAGGUGAAAUUCGUAGAUAUUGGGAAGAACACCAGUGGCGAAGGCGGCUCACUGGUCCGUAACUGACGCUGAGGUGCGAAAGCGUGGGGAGCAAACAGGGAUUAAGAUACCCCCGUAGUCC